Molecule: ribosomal RNA, 468 nt
Filed under: uncultured bacterium
Lineage: Bacteria
Description: partial 16S ribosomal RNA
Rfam family: Bacterial small subunit ribosomal RNA
Source: RNAcentral
GACGAACGCUGGCGGCGUGCUUAACACAUGCAAGUCGAACGGAAAGGCCCUGCUUUUGUGGGGUGCUCGAGUGGCGAACGGGUGAGUAACACGUGAGUAACCUGCCCUUGACUUUGGGAUAACUUCAGGAAACUGGGGCUAAUACCGGAUAGGAGCUCCUGCUGCAUGGUGGGGGUUGGAAAUUUUCGGCGGGUGGGGAUGGACUCGCGGCUUAUCAGCUUGUUGGUGGGGUAGUGGCUUACCAAGGCUUUGACGGGUAGCCGGCCUGAGAGGGUGACCGGCCACAUUGGGACUGAGAGAGGGCGCAGAGUGCUACAGGAGGCAGCAGUGGGGAAUAUUGCACAAUGGGCGGAAGCCUGAUGAAGAAACGCCGCGUGCGGGAAGACGGCCUUCGGGUUGUGAACCGCUUUCGCCUGAGACGAAGCGUGAGUGACGGUAAUGGGUGAAGAAGCACCGGCUAACUACGUG